Long non-coding RNA from Neltuma alba, 958 nucleotides. RefSeq lists it as uncharacterized. NCBI's taxonomy places the organism in Eukaryota, Viridiplantae, Streptophyta, Magnoliopsida, Fabales, Fabaceae. The transcript has 2 exons. The record is from RefSeq and is a predicted model, not a curated record.
CACAGUAUGUAUACCUAGACGGCGGAGAAGCCACAAAACCCUCGGCCAACUUUUCUCUUUCACGCGCAGGCUUUGAUGUCGCUCACUUCUUCUGGGCAACUCUUCUAGUAAUUUUCUCGCCUCACAAUUUGAUGCAUAAAAAGUAUGCAGGAAUGUCAAGCGUCGCAGUCGUUUGGUUUCACUUUCAGCUUUGAAUUCAGUGAACAGGUGCACAGUUUAUUUAAUUCUCUUCCGAUGAUUAUAUAUUGUUUUGGGAUUAACGUCUCUUCUUGCUGUUUAAGAUUGUGAUUGCAAAUCCCCUGCUACAUUUAUCUUACUUCAUGCCUUUCGUUUUCUCUGUUUUAUCUAUCUAAACAUUAUCAAUGAUAAUUUGGAAUCAGAAUAACGUCUCAUCUUCGUCUCGGAAUUGGGUACGUGUUUUGCUGACGCACUGAUGAACAAUUUUCAAGGAUAACCAUAGUUAAUGAUGCCCAAGAAUAUGGAUAUUGAUGGGGAUGAUGCUGAUGGCCCGCAAAUACUUGAACGUGUGUAUCAUCUCUUGAGCGACAGAAAGAAAGAUUGUGGGACUCACCAAAAGACGCAAUGGGAGAAGAAGCACUUGUUGAGCUUGCGAGGGCCAAGUGUUUGCAGAGAGAAUGAAAGCCAGCAGCGCUGAAAACAGAUCAUCUGAUUGUUUCAUUUCCGGGUGUCUAUCCCUGGGCUGAUUGAUAGUGUGUUUGAGGAUGCCUACGUGAUGGCAAUGGACAGAUAUAAUAAUGCAACUGGGAGGAAAGUAUCCAUUUCUUGGACGAAGAAGAAUGUUGGCUAGGUUGGCGGAACCUGGAUCAUAUUAGACCUGUAACAUGUAGGCUGGGGGUUGCUGGGUGCUGAUUUACCUUCUUCUGAUAGUUUUUUAUUUUUUUAUUUGGGUGUUUAUAUCGACAAUUUAUUGUGACGAAUCAGGUCGAAUUAUUCUGCA